UACUAAAUGUUUCGCUACUGAAGUUUGGAUGUCAGCUUAUAUGCAUUGAUAUAUCAAUGCAUAUAAGCUGACAUCCAAACUUCAGUAGCGAAACAU
RNAcentral lists this microRNA precursor (96 nucleotides) under Stegodyphus mimosarum. Its description in RNAcentral is "microRNA mir-75". Lineage: Eukaryota; Metazoa; Arthropoda; Arachnida; Araneae; Eresidae. The record is from RNAcentral.